RNAcentral lists this ribosomal RNA (486 nucleotides) under uncultured bacterium. RNAcentral describes it as "partial 16S ribosomal RNA". It matches the Rfam family "Bacterial small subunit ribosomal RNA", at positions 29 to 523 of the family's 1533-position model. The record is from RNAcentral.
AGUGAACGCUGGCGGCGUGGAUUAGGCAUGCAAGUCGAACGAUACCGCAAGGUAUAGUGGCAAAAGGGCGAGUAACACGUGAGAAAUUUACCUUUGAGUGGGGAAUAACCUUGGGAAACCAUGGCUAAAACCGCAUAAGACCACGACAGGGCAUCCUGUUGUGAUCAAAAGGGGGGACCGCAAGGCCUCUUGCUUAAAGAUGAUCUCGCGUCCUAUCAGCUAGUUGGCGGGGUAAUGGCCCACCAAGGCUUUUGACGGGUAGCUGGACUGAGAGGUUGGUCAGCCGCAUUGGGACUGAGACACGGCCCAGACUCCUACGGGAGGCAGCAGUGGGGAAUAUUGCACAAUGGGCGAAAGCCUGAUGCAGCAACGCCGCGUGAGGGAUGAAGGCCUUCGGGUUGUAAACCUCUUUUAGCAGGGAAGAAGCGAAAGUGACGGUACCUGCAGAAAAAGCACCGGCUAACUACGUGCCAGCCGCCGCGGUAA